AUUUAAAAACACUGAUUUUAUUCAGCAUUAAUAUUAAGAAAAAUGAACGUUGACAUGUUUCAACAAUUGUAUUGAUCCCCAGCUGAUUCAUUAACAUACAGCGGCUGUAAUAAAUGAUUAAUAUGAGAGCGUCAUUGGACGUACAGUCUAUAAAUCAGCUUUUUCUGUAUAGACAUUUAGUUAGAUAAGAACUAUCGGUAUGCUAGCUCACAUCAUAACAUCAGAUAAACAAUAUCAGGAUACAAGCGGCGUUUAGCGAUGUUUGUUUAAAAUAUUUAAAAAGUGUUGCUGAUUUAUAUGUUUCGUGAUUUCGCAGGUAUGGAUAUUCUUUUUUAAGUAAUGGAACUAAUGGAAUAUGACCAGAUAUUUGGACAGCCUGACUGCAAAUUUGGACCAAAGAAAGACUCAAAUGUUAAGAUAUACACAGGUAGUAACUAAGACGUUUCCAGUUUUACAAACGUAUAUAAAGUGGUGAUGGUGACGGCGAUGAUAUAGGAAAUGGUAAUGGAAAUAAGGACGAUUAUUGCGUUAAUGGUGAUGGCUGCUGAGAUGACGACGAUGAUGUUGAUGAUUAUAAUGAUAGUCAUGUUCAUAUAAAUGGUAAUUUUGGCGAUAAUUAUGACUUUGCUGGUGGUAAUUUUGACGAUGGUUAUGCUGAAGACGGUGGAAGUGAUUGUGAUGGUAAUGUUACUGAUGAUGUAAAUGGUGGUAAUGAUAAAUGCUGGUAAGUAAGUAAGUACGUAUUUACGUAAGCAACGACUUGAUUUUAAAUAGAUGACAUACAUGAUGAUCAAGUUAGGUCUACUAUCAACAUACAUAAAUGCAUACAUAUACAGAAAGUUGUAUAUACAAUAUUUACAAGGGUUUGACACAUUAAACCAUUAGACACAUGAAAUUCAUGGGAAAAACAGUUCAUACUUUCAAGUAUUUACAAGCAUUAACAAAGGCGUUCCCAUUAAGAACAUGCUUAUCUAAUUAAUUGGCCUCGAUUACCGUUUUAGUAAAGAUAUCGCUUUCACUUGAUUUAGACACUAACUAUUUUACUCAAGUCAGGUACCAUAUUGAAAUGCUAUGUUGACGGUCAGAGUGCUGGUGAUAUUGAUGACCAUGGUCAUUAUGAUGGCGAUGUUGACGAUGAUGACGAUACUGAUUGCAUCGAUGGUGUUGAUGUAAUGAUGGUGAUAAUCAUUCUCUUGGAGAUGGUGAUGACGAUAAUGAAGGUGAUUGUAGUGAAAGUGGAUAUGGUUAUGGUAGAACUGGUGAUAGUAGAACUGAUGAUGGUGACUGCAAUGAUAAGCUCUGGCAGAGCAAUCUGAAUAAACUUGAGAGGGAACCAUAUAAGAGUGUAACUGACCAAGUUUGUUAAAUGUCUGUCAAGUCAUUCAAAAGAAAUUGUCGAUUAAAGGUGCAAUGUAUCACUGUAUAUGUAUAUCCAUGUUUUAGCUCUGGCAGCCCAUAAAAGUGGUCAGUCGGAAUAAAGUUUUGUGUGAUUUCUGCCAGUAUUUUCACGGCAUAAAAUGUUGGCGAGGGAAUCUAAUCCAUCUGCGUAUAUCAAUAGCUCGCCUUCAACAUUUCGUUCAGGUUCGCUAAAAAGUAAAAUAAUCAUAAUUCGAUCAACAUAAAGUAUGACAGAGAUACCAACAUCACCCGCCUAGGGACUUCUUUUACAAAACAUGUUACCAGCCAAUAUAACAUCUUCGUCUAACUUUCGAGCUAACUGGAGCAAAAUACUAAAUAAUGUCUACCUUUCAUAAUAGUCUUUAUACCAAUCAUUAUAUAUCAAAUUAUUCAUGAAUAUUGUAUGUCGUUUGAAAAUGUAUGGAAUAUCGUAAUUGGUGAAUGUAACGAAUAUCCUAUCAUAUUAAAGGGAAACCUAUCAAUACAGCAAUCUUACUUUAAACAUAAUUCUUUUUGGAAAACUGAUAAAAAUCGCAUGCACUAUCAGGUCUAGGCCUUACAUUGAACAAAUAUAAUGCGACAGACCAUUUUAUAUCAACAUCCGUCUACCAAAAGUAAAGUUAUUGACCAGACAAAAGAAAUUACCUAAUGUCUCUUAUCUUAAAGUGCGACCUUGAUCUUUGUAAUAGGGUCCUGUGUCUAGCAUAUGACAUGUCUCCACAUUUUAGGGAACAUCUGUGAAAAGAUUCUGAAAUCUCUUGAUGAGUAGCAGAUAAAAAAAAGACAGUGUUAAUAUUUGACUUCCAAGUGGGACCCUGACCUUGGAGAUAGGGGUCUGUGUCUUGCAUGCGGCAUGUGGUAUCAUCAUCGCAAACAUGUGUGCCAAGUAUUUAAAAUGAAUGGCACAGUUAUGGAUUGGGCAGAAAACAGCUCCUCUUUUAAAACCGUUGACUUCAAAGUGCACUUGACCCUUGCUAGGGUUUGCGCAAAAUUAUUUAUUUCAAAAUCUCUUCAUAUACGGCAGAUCUAUGAAUCAAAGGCCAUAAUUCUUCUGAAAAUCCCCAAACCAGAAAAUGCUGAUUAUACACACAACUAGGCAAAGAUUAUUCUUGAGAAGUUUGGUGUAAAUCCGUCAAAUGACAUGUUACCUAUUGAAGAGAAAAUGGCUAAUUAGUGAUUAUCAAACCUUGUUGCUUCAUACUGUGUAAACAACCUUUGCAUUGAAACCCAAAACUGCUUCAAUGCCGUAUUGGUUUAGUUUCGUUCUUCUGUAUACAAUGUAUACCAACACAAAACAAACACAUAUCCGCAAUGAAAUUCAUUCAAAAUCAUCCCAAUGUUUGUGUCAUACACAUCCAAUUUAAACACCAAUUAAUCACUAUCAACAAUUUUUUUCCCUUAUAUAUAUUUGGCAUCAAAGAGAUAAAAUGUGUAAGAUCUUUGGAGGCCUAGAAGGCAACCAAGCAAAACAUAAAAUUAGUUUUGGUUUGACCGAGUCUGUCCACGAGAGGGCAUCUGCAACAACCUUCAAGGCCCGUAACAGUGGCUUAUGUGGAGCUCCAAUGUACAUAAACAUUGAAUGCAUUGGUCAAUGGACUAGAAAAUAUAACAAAACUACUCAGGGAUUUAUACCUUGUUUAUUUCAAUUUUGUACCAACACUAAUUCACACCUGUCUUGUAAUAAGAACUGGAAUUUGAAUACUAAAAAUCUUGCAUCUGAAGUCCUGUCUGUUACACUGAAUUCCUGCCAUACAUGAUAACAGACAAAUGUUCAGACAUUUAUAACAACGUAAUAUUUAUUGGUACAUCUCAGCAUAAAAACUUUCAAAACAGCAAAAUAUAAACUAAAGAUACGUGUUGUUUUUUCUUCAGUUCCAUGUAAACUACGAGAAUAAUGUGAAUCAUAAGCAUUUUCAUUCUUAAUAUUAAGAAGUCGCUUAUCUGACUUUGACUGUUUCACCUUAAAUAUAUGUAUGACAUGCUGGGUCGUGAAUGGUUUUACAACUGUCUUUAGUAUAAACUAGCGGCCCCUAAAAAUGGACCAAAUUUGGCCAAAUUCAGUAUAGCAUCCUACAUUGAUGCUACAAACCAACUUUACAAUCAUGCCACAGACCAAGUUUGAUGAAGUCCCAUUAUCAAAUGGUUCACAAAAAGGAUUUGUUUCUAGUGUCCGCUAACAUCUCUAUUUUGAACAUACUUUAGAGAGGACCUAAAAACGAGUGUACCAAGCAAGUUUAUCCAUCAAGCAGUUCAGAAGAAAACUAUUCUAUUUUCAGCUCUAGCGGCCCCUAAAAUGUGGCGAGUGCCACCAUUUGAAUAGUCUGGGAAUCCAGUCUGACAAUUUCUAACUUUUUUCUACCCGCAAAUUGUUAAUAUCAGAAUCUCGAUGAACGCCAAUAAACACUUAUUAGCGCAAAUUAAGCGGGAUCUUUAAGGUAUGAUUUCUUCUAACAAAGCACGAAUAUUAUCACGGAUUCCCAGGCUACCACUUGAACUAGUUUUGCAAAAUGUCUUAUGAUGGUGCUAUAAACCAAGUUUGAUGAAGAUCCAUCAGGUGAUUUUGAGAAGAAGUUGUUUACAAGCACAAAGUGUUUUUUUUUAUAUAUUUUAGCUGUAACUGCCCAUAAGAGCGAUAAGUAGACCCUUAUGAAUUCUCUCGUGAAAGGAACUGGCAGGUGCAAGAACAAGCUUCGUGUAAUUCUGACCUAGUCUCAAAAAGAAUGUUUGUGAAACUUGUUGGUGAUAAACUACAGACGAUGAACGAUGAACAUUCACCUACACUUAUAACUAAUCUCCAAAUCGUACGAAAACUAAAAAAGGAGAGAGGAUUUUUGUUUGUUUUUCCUAAGAAGACCUUCCAAGAAACUUAAUUAUUGACACAAUUCAAUUCAAAAUUGAAAAGCAUUUGAAAUGGGGCAAAGUAUAUGUUGCCUGAAUUAUAAUACCUUAUCUUUAACGACCGUUAAGUACUUAUUCCUUAAUGUGGUGAAUUGGUCAACAGUGCAAAUAAAAAAAAUGUUUAUUGCCUCGGCGACCCGGUUUUAAUUCACGACUCGGGCGUGCUUUUUUCUUUCUUUUUUCUUUUUUUCUUGUUUUGGCAUUUUUAAGUUAGUUUAGAAGAAAAGCUUAUCUCUUAAUGUUUAUAAUAUGGCAAUACUACAAAUUUAAAGAUUGGUCAUUUUAGACAAAAGCUGAAUGUCAGUGUUAAUAGUUUUUUUAAUAAAUGAAUCUUAAACACUGUUAAAAUUAGAUUGGCUUUCUCAAAGGUACUGGGCUCCUUUAAAAUUGUAGGUUUUGUCAUAUUAUGAAUAUUACAAUUAUAUUUUCAGAAAUGCCACAUGAAACGAACAAUGCAUGUCUUUUGAAUUAUGCAUUUAAUCUAGGUCAUGCAGUUUAGUUAGAAACUAGAAUAUGGAAAUUCAUGUACAUGUAUAUACGUAGUAUUCUUUAUAUUUUCAGAGGAUGUAGAAUAACAAACAGUG
This is a long non-coding RNA of Mercenaria mercenaria, 4880 nucleotides long. RefSeq lists it as uncharacterized. Lineage: Eukaryota; Metazoa; Mollusca; Bivalvia; Venerida; Veneridae. The transcript is spliced from 3 exons. The record is from RefSeq and is a predicted model, not a curated record.